RNAcentral lists this ribosomal RNA (1035 nucleotides) under Physalaemus deimaticus (Jaboticatubas dwarf frog). RNAcentral describes it as "partial 16S ribosomal RNA". It matches the Rfam family "Bacterial large subunit ribosomal RNA", at positions 839 to 2548 of the family's 2925-position model. The record is from RNAcentral. Lineage: Eukaryota; Metazoa; Chordata; Amphibia; Anura; Leptodactylidae.
CUAGUGAUAGCUGGUUAUUCAAGAAAAGAAUAUUAGUUCAACUAAAAAUUAUAUUAAUACUAGUAAAUUACAUUUUAAUUUUUAAGUAAUUCAAAUAAGGUACAGCCUAUUUGAACCAGGAUACAACCUAGACUACUGGGUAACUUUAUUAACUCUUAUAUUUAAGUGGGCCUAAUAGCAGCCAACUUUCAAAAAGCGUCAAAGCUUAUCUACAUACAAUUUUAAUACCUUAAUAAACUAAAAACCCUUUAUUCAUAUUGAAUACUUCUAUAUCCUCUAUAGAACUUUUUAUGUUAAAACUAGUAACAAGAAGUAAAACUUCUCUUUAAUGCAAAUGUAAGACGGCCAGGAUAUCCCACCGACAAUUAACGCCUGUGAAUUAUUAGUAAGAACACCACAAGAAAAAUUUACUGCUUUUCACGUUAACCUUACACAAGAACAUUACAAGAAAGAUUAAAAGAAAAGGAAGGAACUCGGCAAAUUUUAACCUCGCCUGUUUACCAAAAACAUCGCCUCUUGCCAACUAUAAGAGGUCUAGCCUGCCCAGUGAAUCAAUUUAACGGCCGCGGUAUCCUAACCGUGCGAAGGUAGCGUAAUCACUUGUUCUUUAAAUGAGGACUAGUAUGAAUGGCAUCACGAAGGUUAAACUGUCUCCCCUCUCUAAUCAGUGAAACUGAUCUCCCCGUGAAGAAGCGGGGGUAAUUUUAUAAGACGAGAAGACCCUAUGGAGCUUUAAACUAUGCAACAAUUGCUGUAUUAUUUAACAAUUCCAGAAUAUUAAACCUUAUUUUAACAAUCUGUUCGCUAGUUUUCGGUUGGGGUGACCGCGGAGCAUAAAUUAACCUCCACGAUGAAAGAAAUUAUAUUUCUUAACCCAGAGCUACAACUCAAAGUACCAAAAAUUUGACAUAAUUUGAUCCAAUGUAUUACGUUUGAUCAACGAACCAAGUUACCCUAGGGAUAACAGCGCAAUCCACUUCAAGAGCCCCUAUCGACAAGUGGGUUUACGACCUCGAUGUUGGAUCAGGGUGUCCU